UACGUAGGGGGCAAGCGUUGUCCGGAUUUAUUGGGCGUAAAGAGCUCGUAGGCGGUUUGUCGCGUCUGCUGUGAAAUUUCGGGGCUCAACCCCGAACUUGCAGUGGGUACGGGCAGACUAGAGUGUGGUAGGGGAGACUGGAAUUCCUGGUGUAGCGGUGAAAUGCGCAGAUAUCAGGAGGAACACCGAUGGCGAAGGCAGGUCUCUGGGCCACUACUGACGCUGAGAAGCGAAAGCAUGGGGAGCGAACAGG
RNAcentral lists this ribosomal RNA (253 nucleotides) under uncultured bacterium. Its description in RNAcentral is "partial 16S ribosomal RNA". It matches the Rfam family "Bacterial small subunit ribosomal RNA", at positions 524 to 776 of the family's 1533-position model. The record is from RNAcentral.